Pipra filicauda (Wire-tailed manakin) is the source of this 446-nucleotide long non-coding RNA. RefSeq lists it as uncharacterized. Lineage: Eukaryota; Metazoa; Chordata; Aves; Passeriformes; Pipridae. The transcript has 4 exons. The record is from RefSeq and is a predicted model, not a curated record.
AACUAAAGGACACUUCCAAGUCAACUGCCCUUGUCCUUGUUGGGGACUUCAACUUGCCAGAUAUUAAUUGGGAGCAUCACAUAGCUGGGACAACCUGGGCCAGAAGAUUCCUAAAACACCUGGAUGAGAACUUUAUGGAACAGAUCCUAAGGGAGCUGACUCAGAAAGGAGUAAAAGUGCCAGCAAAGCCUCAACUCUGAACAUGAGGAAAGCAGACUUCAGGCCGUUCAGGGAAUUACCACAAGGUUGACGGGGAGAAGCUGGAACUAUGACCUUGUCUGGCUCCAUGACCAGGACUACACAGUGCCUUACAGCACCAGGCUGAAGGCAGAGGUUUCAGUAGCAUCGGUAGAAGAAAAUGAUCUCAUGGAGGAUUCCAGCUACUAGUGAUAAAUAAGAAGCUACCUGGAAUUAGCUCCAGUGGAAAGGCAAUACAGCAGCAAGGA